GGUCGCUUAGCUCAGUUGGUAGAGCGCCACCCUUACAAGGUGGAUGCCGUAGGUUCGAGUCCUACAGCGACCA
Helicobacter sp. CLO-3 is the source of this 73-nucleotide transfer RNA. It matches the Rfam family "tRNA". Rfam says of the family: Transfer RNA (tRNA) molecules are approximately 80 nucleotides in length. NCBI's taxonomy places the organism in Bacteria, Pseudomonadati, Campylobacterota, Epsilonproteobacteria, Campylobacterales, Helicobacteraceae. The record is from Rfam.